UGGGGAAUAUUGGACAAUGGGCGCAAGCCUGAUCCAGCAAUGCCGCGUGAGUGAUGAAGGCCUUAGGGUUGUAAAGCUCUUUCAGCGGGGACGAUGAUGACGGUACCCGCAGAAGAAGCCCCGGCUAACUUCGUGCCAGCAGCCGCGGUAAUACGAAGGGGGCUAGCGUUGUUCGGAAUUACUGGGCGUAAAGGGCGCGUAGGCGGCGCAUCAAGUCAGGCGUGAAAGCCCCGGGCUCAACCUGGGAAUUGCGCUUGAGACUGUUGUGCUUGAGUUCGGGAGAGGUGAGUGGAAUUCCCAGUGUAGAGGUGAAAUUCGUAGAUAUUGGGAAGAACACCGGUGGCGAAGGCGGCUCACUGGACCGAUACUGACGCUGAGGCGCGAAAGCGUGGGGAGCAAACAGGAUUAGAUACCCCCGUAGUCC
This 424-nucleotide ribosomal RNA is filed under the name uncultured bacterium. RNAcentral describes it as "bacterial SSU rRNA". It matches the Rfam family "Bacterial small subunit ribosomal RNA", at positions 355 to 796 of the family's 1533-position model. The record is from RNAcentral.